This is a long non-coding RNA of Motacilla alba alba, 3335 nucleotides long. RefSeq lists it as uncharacterized. The record is from RefSeq and is a predicted model, not a curated record. Lineage: Eukaryota; Metazoa; Chordata; Aves; Passeriformes; Motacillidae. The transcript is spliced from 3 exons.
GCCGUCCUGGGAAUAUAGCAGGCGGAGGAGUGACCGCUUCUGUCCGGAAGGAGAAAAACAGAGCGGUAGAAGCGGCCGCUUCGCUGCGCCUUUCCGCCUCCGUAGCUGUUUGAUUCCGUACCUUGAACCGCGCCGCGGAGACGCUUGAUUUGCCAGAUUGCUGACUCUGAGGGUCUGCAAGUCCAAGCCUAAGUGUCCUCCUGAGGCGGCCAGCGAUAGUGUCGAGGACAAGCUUUCACAAGCCGAAGAACCGGGCUGCAAGACUAUAUGCGUUCCUGUUAAGACUGUAUGCAUAGUUCAGAUGACAGCAGUGACUUGCGCACUCUACUGAUUUUUGGUAAGAACAACUGUUGACUUCAAACACCUUCAAAAAAGUUAAUCUGAACCUACAAGCUGUAAUAGCCAGAGUCUGCCAAGGAGCCUUCUUUUCACAAUGAGGACUUGGAAAGCCUCUUCCGGACAAGACUUCCAUGUCUAUCUCAAAGGAAAGUGGUCCAGCUUCUGCAAAGCCGAAUCAGCUAGGCAAAGUGACUUGCUUUCAUCUUUAGCACAGAAACACCUGGUUUUGAUACUUUUUCUGCCAGUCAAGGCCAUAGCCUGGCCAGGGCUAAGACUUACACUGGGAGGAGCUUCCCUAUCCUAUCUCUAAAAGAAAUUCUCAGUAAUAACUUGUAGAACAGCUGCCUUUGUCAUAAAUAACUUGUAAAUAACUGUAACUAUAUACUUAUAUAUACAAUUCUUUGAAAGUACCAUUUACCUUUUCGUCACAAACAAACCAAUUCAAAACUAUCAAAGGAAACAUCUCUUUGUCUCAGGUAGAUUUUACAGGUCAUAUUCUGGUACUUAAAUAUUGCAGUACAUAAGUGUCGGAGUCUUCCCCUUGGUCAGGGUGAUUUUGAAAGGUGGAAAAGUCUCUGCUCCAACCUGUGCCUUCAAAGAAAGACUCAGUAGUCCUCAACCGUCCAGUCUCAAUGUUGUUUAUUGUAAGUUAUCUUAAGAUUUUCUUCUGGGCUGCUGCGGUCUGCUCAGCAGGUCAGCCAGAGGCACACUCUGCACACUCUCCGCCCCCGAGGCUGGUGCUAUCUUUUAUAUUAAAAACUAUGUGUAUUGUAUUUACAAUUCCGUUCCAAUAGCUAUCACCUAUGUUAGACAGUCAGCUUCUAUUCUAAACCAAUCUAAAAGUGCCAACAUCACCCAAAUCAUGGAGGCUAGGAAGAAGAAGGAAGAAAGACAAGGCAUGCCCUGAUUCCUCCAUCUUAGAACUUCUGACCCCCAUGUACAAAAUCCAAACCCCACUGUACAGAGGUCAGAACCCUGCUCUGUACAGCACUCAGAAAUUUUUCCCUUCACUUUGUGAUUAUCUCUACUAUACUACCUAAACUUGUAUGACUUGUAAUUCUUCAUACAGAAUUGGUAAUUUGCUCCAUGGACUAAGAUCAAAACCCCACGUGUCUUUGGCUGCAUGCCAGGGUCUCAGAGCCCCCUGCCAGUGGCUCAGGCCAUCCAGGGCACCCAGAGGGAUGUCCUGGGUUCCAACACAUAAGAUUGUCAAAUCAGCACUUGACAUUCUUCUGUAUAAAUAAAACAUAUUUUAAGGAAAAUAAUCUUAGGAGUUAUGUACAAAAGAAACUAGCAAGCAUUAUUGAAAUAAAAUGCAACAUCACUGCCAAUCUCGCUAUCUGAAAUACCUUUGAAGUAAAUUUAACAAGACCCUUAAAAUGUAUAUAAACAUAUUUUAAACUGUUAAACUGUGGGAUAUAGGUAACAUCAGUAAGAUGACAGGAUAUCAAGGGUUUGUGAAAAAGUUAAUUGAAAUUGCUUGCCUGGUGUUUUCUGCAAUCCAGUAAAGACAUAUUUAAGUUUCAUGUCAUGAAGGAUUGCGAAGUACAUAGCUUAAUAUUGUUUCAACUGCUAAUGAUGAUUAAGACUGAACAAGACAUUACUGCAUGCUGCAACUUUCUACACUAGAAUUAAAGAUUUGUAAAAUAAUGGAUUGCUUAUCAUCUAUCUUAAAUUAGAGAUCUAUUGUACAAUGAUCUCCUAGCAAAGGUACCAAGUAUGAUACCAUACCAAAAUCUGUUUUAAAUAAAGUGUACUGAUACGUUGUUGCCAACACACUGGAAAAAACAUUCGCAUGAAAAGAAGCCCUUAGCCCUUUAAACACAACAGCUUUUGUCAGAAAGCAACUAAAAUCUCUUCAUUUGUAUUAAAAAGUUGUGAGAUCAAAAAUAAUUGGUACCAUACCUGUCAUCACAGUGACAUCUGCAAAAUUGUUAUACUUGACAACACCUACAGGAUUCUUAUGAGUACUGGAAAGAUAUGGAAUCUUACAUGGUUCUGGUUUCUUUCUGUAUUAAUUGUGAGUUAAGUGACUUCUAUUUCUUUAUAAUGACUGAGGAGCAUGGUGGCUGUUAACUAGAAGCAACAAAAAUAUCCUCCAUAGCUAGCUAGAUCUUAUAAUUAAAAAGAAAAAAAAAAAGCAGUGUGGGUGUUUGUAAGUCUCCGUCUGAAGUUUCUCUCAUCUGCCUCACGAUCAUUGUGAAAGGGACAGAAAUUGGGACCACUGAAAAGACCCUGUUUGAAAUCCUGGUCUUGUGGGAGAUGAUUGCUUGCCAGGGUCCCGAGGCCUGAACAGAGCUUCUGGCUUGCCAAGUCAUUGUUCACAGGUGUGUUUGCCCACCCCAUGGAACACUGCAUCCAGUGAAAAGAAACGGCGACACUGUGCUCUUUCUUCACCUAUAUCACUUCUCAAUAAUGGCCCUGGAAUUUCCCCACCUCCAAACUUGGCCGGACUCUUUCCUUGGGUGACCUUUGGUGGUCCCCACAGAAGACCCUUCAUUUACUGUACAACCACUGUGAUAGAUGGACUGAGAUGGGAGAAGCCUUUCCCUCAAGGACUGAGACAUGAGACCCCUAUAUGGAAAAACUCCCCUUUCCUCCCAAGGACUGAAACCUCUAACCUGGGUGGGGUGUGUAGGGGAGGCAAGCUGACCAAACCGAGAUGUUUGCCUGCAGGUUGUGACCACUGGACCAAGAAGACAAUGGUUCUUGCCCACUACUGAGAACAUGGAGUAUUUUAUCUGUUUCACCCCCUUUGCAAAUUUCAAUAGAGUUAUCAUAAAAAAAAAAGCCCUGAGUUAGCUUGAGAUUUCAAGAUCUCCCCUGACGUGAAUACAAGUGCCGUCGACUGGACUUGGAAGGACUUUGUCGUCUCUACGUUUGGUAGAUAUAUACCUUUCCUUUCUCUGCUUUCCUUUCUUUUUCCUUAUUCUUUCCCUUUUCCCCAAUUUCCCCGCAACCCAUUUUGCUGUGAUCAUUUAAUAAAGUACAUUGGU